This 700-nucleotide ribosomal RNA is filed under the name Gardnerella vaginalis. RNAcentral's name for it is "bacterial SSU rRNA". It matches the Rfam family "Bacterial small subunit ribosomal RNA", at positions 74 to 787 of the family's 1533-position model. The record is from RNAcentral. Lineage: Bacteria; Bacillati; Actinomycetota; Actinomycetes; Bifidobacteriales; Bifidobacteriaceae.
CGCCUGGUUAGGUCGCAGAGUGGCGAACGGGUGAGUAAUGCGUGACCAACCUGCCCCAUGCUCCAGAAUAGCUCUUGGAAACGGGUGGUAAUGCUGGAUGCUCCAACUUGACGCAUGUCUUGUUGGGAAAGUGUUUAGUGGCAUGGGAUGGGGUCGCGUCCUAUCAGCUUGUAGGCGGGGUAAUGGCCCACCUAGGCUUCGACGGGUAGCCGGCCUGAGAGGGCGGACGGCCACAUUGGGACUGAGAUACGGCCCAGACUCCUACGGGAGGCAGCAGUGGGGAAUAUUGCGCAAUGGGGGGAACCCUGACGCAGCGACGCCGCGUGCGGGAUGAAGGCCUUCGGGUUGUAAACCGCUUUUGAUUGGGAGCAAGCCUUUUGGGUGAGUGUACCUUUCGAAUAAGCGCCGGCUAACUACGUGCCAGCAGCCGCGGUAAUACGUAGGGCGCAAGCGUUAUCCGGAAUUAUUGGGCGUAAAGAGCUUGUAGGCGGUUCGUCGCGUCUGGUGUGAAAGCCCAUCGCUUAACGGUGGGUUUGCGCCGGGUACGGGCGGGCUAGAGUGCAGUAGGGGAGACUGGAAUUCUCGGUGUAACGGUGGAAUGUGUAGAUAUCGGGAAGAACACCAAUGGCGAAGGCAGGUCUCUGGGCUGUUACUGACGCUGAGAAGCGAAAGCGUGCGGAGCGAACAGGAUUAGAUACCC